This 468-nucleotide ribosomal RNA is filed under the name uncultured bacterium. RNAcentral's name for it is "partial 16S ribosomal RNA". It matches the Rfam family "Bacterial small subunit ribosomal RNA", at positions 28 to 507 of the family's 1533-position model. The record is from RNAcentral.
GACGAACGCUGGCGGCGUGCUUAAUACAUGCAAGUCGAACGGAAAGGCCCUGCCUUUCUGUGCUGCUCGAGUGGCGAACGGGUGAGUAACACGUAAGUAACCUGCCCGUGAGUGUGGGAUAACUUCAGGAAACGGUGGCUAAUACCGGAUAGGAGUUUCUGCUGCAUGUCGGUGGUUGGAAAGUUUCGCCGGCUUGAGUAGUACUCGGGGCUUCUCAGUUUGUUGGUGGGGUAGUGGUUUACCAAGGCUAGGCCGGGUAGCCGGCCUGAGCGGGUGACCGGGCACAUUGGGCCUGAGAUACGGCCCAGACUGCAACGGGAGGCAGCGGUGGAAAAUAGUGCAAAAUAGGCGGAGGCCUGGAAGAACAACGCCGGGUGCGAGAUGACGGCUUUCAGGUUGUAAAGCGCUUUCGCCUGGAACGAUGCGUGUGUGACGGUAUUGGGUAAAGAAGCAACGGCUAACUACGUG